Molecule: microRNA precursor, 104 nt
Filed under: Chlorocebus sabaeus (green monkey)
Lineage: Eukaryota; Metazoa; Chordata; Mammalia; Primates; Cercopithecidae
Description: miRNA (ENSCSAG00000024438.1)
Source: RNAcentral
AUUAGGUUGCUGCAAAAGUAAUUGAGGUUUUUGCCAUUACUUUCAAUACCAUUACUUUUGAAAGUAAUGGCGAAAAUCGCAAUUACUUUUGCAUCAACUUAAUA